GCUCAGGAUGAACGCUGGCGGCGUGCCUAAUACAUGCAAGUCGAGCGAACAGAUGAGAAGCUUGCUUCUCUGAUGUUAGCGGCGGACGGGUGAGUAACACGUGGGUAACCUACCUAUAAGACUGGGAUAACUCCGGGAAACCGGGGCUAAUACCUGAUAAUAUUUUGAACCGCAUGGUUCAAUAGUGAAAGACGGCUUCGGCUGUCACUUAUAGAUGGACCCGCGCCGUAUUAGCUAGUUGGUAAGGUAAUGGCUUACCAAGGCGACGAUACGUAGCCGACCUGAGAGGGUGAUCGGCCACACUGGAACUGAGACACGGUCCAGACUCCUACGGGAGGCAGCAGUAGGGAAUCUUCCGCAAUGGGCGAAAGCCUGACGGAGCAACGCCGCGUGAGUGAUGAAGGUCUUAGGAUCGUAAAACUCUGUUGUUAGGGAAGAACAAAUUUGUUAGUAACUGAACAAGUCUGACGGUACC
RNAcentral lists this ribosomal RNA (475 nucleotides) under uncultured Staphylococcus sp. RNAcentral describes it as "bacterial SSU rRNA". It matches the Rfam family "Bacterial small subunit ribosomal RNA", at positions 22 to 479 of the family's 1533-position model. Lineage: Bacteria; Bacillati; Bacillota; Bacilli; Caryophanales; Staphylococcaceae. The record is from RNAcentral.